RNAcentral lists this ribosomal RNA (245 nucleotides) under uncultured bacterium. RNAcentral describes it as "partial 16S ribosomal RNA". It matches the Rfam family "Bacterial small subunit ribosomal RNA", at positions 15 to 244 of the family's 1533-position model. The record is from RNAcentral.
GAUCCUGGCUCAGGAUGAACGCUGGCGGCGUGCCUAACACAUGCAAGUCGAACGAAGCACCUUACCGGAUUCUUCGGAUGAAAGUUUGGUGACUGAGUGGCGGACGGGUGAGUAACGCGUGGGUAACCUGCCCUGUACAGGGGGAUAACAGCUGGAAACGGCUGCUAAUACCGCAUAAGCGCACGAGGAGACAUCUCCUUGUGUGAAAAACUCCGGUGGUACAGGAUGGGCCCGCGUCUGAUUAG